GAAGGAGUUACGCACGUUGAUGUCAGCAGGGGUCCUCUUGCGUUUCUACUACAUCUUUCUCAUAGAGAAACCUGUGAUUGGACAGUUUCACCAGCUCACAGUGCAUAUAUGCCAUCUGAGCUGGCAAAGGGGGCAGGGAUGAUGAAAUUUCGGAGGGAGUGAAUUUUAAAAAAAUAGAACCAAAAUAUAAGCAACAGAGGAAGCGCUUAGUGGGAAGGAGGGAAAAUCAAUCUUCCCCUCUAGGGGUGGGCUGUCUGGAAGGGGGAAGAUUAUUACGUAUUUUACCAACGUGC
Molecule: non-coding RNA, 293 nt
Organism: Pelobates cultripes (western spadefoot toad)
Lineage: Eukaryota; Metazoa; Chordata; Amphibia; Anura; Pelobatidae
Source: the annotation of a GenBank genome assembly